Molecule: ribosomal RNA, 592 nt
Filed under: Enterobacter cloacae
Lineage: Bacteria; Pseudomonadati; Pseudomonadota; Gammaproteobacteria; Enterobacterales; Enterobacteriaceae
Description: bacterial SSU rRNA
Rfam family: Bacterial small subunit ribosomal RNA
Source: RNAcentral
GCGGUAAUACGGAGGGUGCAAGCGUUAAUCGGAAUUACUGGGCGUAAAGCGCACGCAGGCGGUCUGUCAAGUCGGAUGUGAAAUCCCCGGGCUCAACCUGGGAACUGCAUUCGAAACUGGCAGGCUGGAGUCUUGUAGAGGGGGGUAGAAUUCCAGGUGUAGCGGUGAAAUGCGUAGAGAUCUGGAGGAAUACCGGUGGCGAAGGCGGCCCCCUGGACAAAGACUGACGCUCAGGUGCGAAAGCGUGGGGAGCAAACAGGAUUAGAUACCCUGGUAGUCCACGCCGUAAACGAUGUCGAUUUGGAGGUUGUGCCCUUGAGGCGUGGCUUCCGGAGCUAACGCGUUAAAUCGACCGCCUGGGGAGUACGGCCGCAAGGUUAAAACUCAAAUGAAUUGACGGGGGCCCGCACAAGCGGUGGAGCAUGUGGUUUAAUUCGAUGCAACGCGAAGAACCUUACCUGGUCUUGACAUCCACAGAACUUUCCAGAGAUGCAUUGGUGCCUUCGGGAACUGUGAGACAGGUGCUGCAUGGCUGUCGUCAGCUCGUGUUGUGAAAUGUUGGGUUAAGUCCCGCAACGACCGCAACCCGUCA